This 428-nucleotide ribosomal RNA is filed under the name uncultured bacterium. Its description in RNAcentral is "partial 16S ribosomal RNA". It matches the Rfam family "Bacterial small subunit ribosomal RNA", at positions 354 to 796 of the family's 1533-position model. The record is from RNAcentral.
GUCGAGAAUCUUCCGCAAUGCGCGAAAGCGUGACGGAGCGACACCGCGUGAUGGAUGAAGUCCUUCGGGGCGUAAACAUCUUUUAUAAAGGAGGAAAUUUUUGACGUUACUUUAUGAAUAAGGGGCUCCCAAUCUCGUGCCAGCAGGAGCGGUAAUACGAGAGCCUCAAGCGUUAUCCGGCAUCAUUGGGCGUAAAGGGUGCGUAGGUGGUUUGAUUAGUCUCCCGUUAAAACUUCGAGCUUAACUCGAAAAGAGCGGGGGCAACGGUCAAACUAGAGUAUGUGAGAGGUGGGUGGAACUCAUGGUGUAGGGGUGAAAUCCGUUGAUAUCAUGGGGAACACCAAAAGCGAAGGCAGCACACUGGCACAUCACUGACACUGAGGCACGAAACCUAAGGUAGCGAAUGGGAUUAGAAACCCGGGUAGUCC